CUGGCUGGGCAGGUCUGGCAUCUCUGCAACUGCAAACACAUCAAGCUAGGAUUUUAGUGACUCACUCUUUCUCAACGUUUAUCAACAACCUAAAGGUAUUCCAAGUUUCAAAACGUGGCCAUCACCUUGCAUUUUCUUUUAAUGAAGCGGGAUAUCAGCUCUGAACAAGUUGUCGAGUUCUCAAAAUUGGAGCUUUGUGAUAAAUAUUGGGCUCUUUCUUUUAAUUAAGUCCACGUUUCACCUGAAAUUCGUCUCUCUGAAAAUUGAAAGCCUACAAGCUGAGAAAUUGCAAUUGAAUUCAGUAUUUUUCCAUUUUCUGUUUUCGGUUUGUGUUAUGUUCGGUUGCUAGGAAGCUGAUGGGGAGCAGAUAUUCUCCAACCUAAAUUUCCAGUUUCAUGUUCCUUCUGUUGUUUUGACUGUUUACAAACUGAGUUGAUCUGGUUGAUUGUUUGCA
This is a long non-coding RNA of Prunus avium (sweet cherry), 454 nucleotides long. RefSeq lists it as uncharacterized. Lineage: Eukaryota; Viridiplantae; Streptophyta; Magnoliopsida; Rosales; Rosaceae. The record is from RefSeq and is a predicted model, not a curated record.